This 376-nucleotide ribosomal RNA is filed under the name Staphylococcus aureus. Its description in RNAcentral is "bacterial SSU rRNA". It matches the Rfam family "Bacterial small subunit ribosomal RNA", at positions 484 to 858 of the family's 1533-position model. Lineage: Bacteria; Bacillati; Bacillota; Bacilli; Caryophanales; Staphylococcaceae. The record is from RNAcentral.
CAGAAAGCCACGGCUAACUACGUGCCAGCAGCCGCGGUAAUACGUAGGUGGCAAGCGUUAUCCGGAAUUAUUGGGCGUAAAGCGCGCGUAGGCGGUUUUUUAAGUCUGAUGUGAAAGCCCACGGCUCAACCGUGGAGGGUCAUUGGAAACUGGAAAACUUGAGUGCAGAAGAGGAAAGUGGAAUUCCAUGUGUAGCGGUGAAAUGCGCAGAGAUAUGGAGGAACACCAGUGGCGAAGGCGACUUUCUGGUCUGUAACUGACGCUGAUGUGCGAAAGCGUGGGGAUCAAACAGGAUUAGAUACCCUGGUAGUCCACGCCGUAAACGAUGAGUGCUAAGUGUUAGGGGGUUUCCGCCCCUUAGUGCUGCAGCUAACGC